AAAUACAACCACAAACAUCAGCUGCACAAACUACCAAGUCAUUGUGAGUGGGAUGGCUUCAGUCAUCCAGGAGAUGCCACUGUACAGACGACAAGAGAUCACACAUGUUCUGCUGGGCUACCUAAGAAGUACUGAAAAUGCCAUCAAUGAGACAGCUUGCAGGCAACAAAAUGACAGUGAUACCCAAUGGCUUGAAGCAAAUCUGGGUCCAUUCGUCCAAUAUACAGCAUA
Long non-coding RNA from Oreochromis niloticus (Nile tilapia), 231 nucleotides. RefSeq lists it as uncharacterized. NCBI's taxonomy places the organism in Eukaryota, Metazoa, Chordata, Actinopteri, Cichliformes, Cichlidae. The record is from RefSeq and is a predicted model, not a curated record. The transcript is spliced from 3 exons.